Molecule: ribosomal RNA, 914 nt
Filed under: uncultured archaeon
Lineage: Archaea
Description: bacterial SSU rRNA
Rfam family: Archaeal small subunit ribosomal RNA
Source: RNAcentral
UUCCGGUUGAUCCUGCCGGACCUGACUGCUAUCGGAUUGAUACUAAGCCAUGCGAGUCAUUGUAGCAAUACAAGGCAGACGGCUCAGUAACGCGUAGUCAACCUACCCUAUGGACGGGAAUAACCUCGGGAAACUGAGUAUAAUGCCCGAUAGAACACUAUACCUGGAAUGGUUUGUGUUUCAAAUGAUUUAUUGCCGUAGGAUGGGACUGCGGCCUAUCAGUUUGUUGGUGAGGUAAUGGCCCACCAAGACUAUUACAGGUACGGGCUCUGAGAGGAGUGGCCCGGAGAUGGGUACUGAGACACGGACCCAGGCCCUAUGGGGCGCAGCAGGCGAGAAAACUUUGCAAUGUGCGAAAGCACGACAAGGUUAAUCCGAGUGGUUUCUGCUAAAGAAACCUUUUGACAGUCCUAGAAACACUGUUGAAUAAGGGGUGGGCAAGUUCUGGUGUCAGCCGCCGCGGUAAAACCAGCACCUCAAGUGGUCAGGAUGAUUAUUGGGCCUAAAACAUCCGUAGCCGGCUCAGUAAGUUUUCGGUUAAAUCUGUACGCUCAACGUACAGGCUGCCGGGAAUACUGCAGAGCUAGGGAGUGGGAGAGGUAGACGGUACUCGGGAGGAAGUGGUAAAAUGCUUUGAUCUUUCGAUGACCACCUGUGGCGAAGGCGGUCUACCAGAACACGUCCGACGGUGAGGGAUGAAAGCUGGGGGAGCAAACCGGAUUAGAUACCCGGGUAGUCCCAGCUGUAAACUAUGCAAACUCAGUGAUGCAUUGGCUUGUGGCCAAUGCAGUGUUGCAGGGAAGCCGUUAAGUUUGCCGCCUGGGAAGUACGUACGCAAGUAUGAAACUUAAAGGAAUUGGCGGGGGAGCACCACAAGGGGUGAAGCCUGCGGUUCAAUUGGAGUCAACGCCGGG